AUUGAACGCUGGCGGCAUGCCUUACGCAUGCAAGUCGAACGGUAACAGGUCUUCGGAUGCUGACGAGUGGCGAACGGGUGAGUAAUACAUCGGAACGUGCCUAGUAGUGGGGGAUAACUACUCGAAAGAGUGGCUAAUACCGCAUGAGAUCUACGGAUGAAAGCAGGGGAUCGCAAGACCUUGUGCUACUAGAGCGGCCGAUGGCAGAUUAGGUAGUUGGUGGGAUAAAAGCUUACCAAGCCGACGAUCUGUAGCUGGUCUGAGAGGACGAUCAGCCAGACUGGGACUGAGACACGGCCCAGACUCCUACGGGAGGCAGCAGUGGGGAAUUUUGGACAAUGGGCGAAAGCCUGAUCCAGCAAUGCCGCGUGCAGGAUGAAGGCCUUCGGGUUGUAAACUGCUUUUGUACGGAACGAAAAGCCCCGGGUUAAUACCCUGGGGUCAUGACGGUACCGUAAGAAUAAGCACCGGCUAACUACGUGCCAGCAGCCGCCGUAA
Molecule: ribosomal RNA, 498 nt
Filed under: uncultured bacterium
Lineage: Bacteria
Description: partial 16S ribosomal RNA
Rfam family: Bacterial small subunit ribosomal RNA
Source: RNAcentral